AGCAGCCGCGGUAAUUCCAGCUCCAAUAGCGUAUAUUAAAGUUGUUGCAGUUAAAAAGCUCGUAGUUGAAUUUCGGGAUCAAUAUGUUGGUCGUGCCUUGGUACGUACUAGUUUAUUGGUUUCUUCCUUCUGACGAACCAUGAUGUCAUUAAUUUGGUGUCUUGGGGAAUCAGGACUGUUACUUUGAAAAAUUAGAGUGUUUAAAGCAGGCUCACGCUUGAAUACAUUAGCAUGGAAUAAUGAAAUAGGACGUUUUGAUUCUAUUUUGUUGGUUUCUAGGAUCGACGUAAUGAUUAAUAGGGAUAGUUGGGGGCAUUAGUAUUCAAUUGUCAGAGGUGAAAUUCUUGGAUUUAUUGAAGACUAACUACUGCGAAAGCAUUUGCCAAGGAUGUUUUCAUUAAUCAAGAACGAAAGUUAGGGGAUCGAAGACGAUCAGAUACCGUCGUAGUC
RNAcentral lists this ribosomal RNA (450 nucleotides) under uncultured Glomus. RNAcentral describes it as "SSU rRNA". It matches the Rfam family "Eukaryotic small subunit ribosomal RNA", at positions 569 to 1025 of the family's 1831-position model. The record is from RNAcentral. Lineage: Eukaryota; Fungi; Glomeromycota; Glomeromycetes; Glomerales; Glomeraceae.